This 240-nucleotide unclassified non-coding RNA is filed under the name soil metagenome. RNAcentral's name for it is "partial contains 5.8S ribosomal RNA, internal transcribed spacer 2, and large subunit ribosomal RNA". The record is from RNAcentral.
AAGACUAUAGACCUGCGGAGUACCUGCGGCGGGAUCAUUACCGAGUGCGGGCCCUCUGGGUCCAACCUCCCACCCGUGUUUAUUGUACCUUGUUGCUUCGGCGGGCCCGCCAUUCUGGCCGCCGGGGGGCUUGCCCCCGGGCCCGCGCCCGCCGAAGACACCCUCGAACUCUGUCUGAAGAUUGUAGUCUGAGUGGAAUUAUAAAUUAUUAAAACUUUCAGCAAUGGAUCUCUAGAUCGG